UACGUAGGGUGCAAGCGUUGUCCGGAAUUAUUGGGCGUAAAGAGCUCGUAGGCGGUCUGUCGCGUCUGCUGUGAAAACUCAGGGCUCAACCCCGGGCCUGCAGUGGGUACGGGCAGACUAGAGUGCGGUAGGGGAGACUGGAAUUCCUGGUGUAGCGGCGAAAUGCGCAGAUAUCAGGAGGAACACCGGUGGCGAAGGCGGGUCUCUGGGCCGUAACUGACGCUGAGGAGCGAAAGCAUGGGGAGCGAACAGG
RNAcentral lists this ribosomal RNA (253 nucleotides) under uncultured bacterium. RNAcentral's name for it is "partial 16S ribosomal RNA". It matches the Rfam family "Bacterial small subunit ribosomal RNA", at positions 524 to 776 of the family's 1533-position model. The record is from RNAcentral.